Molecule: ribosomal RNA, 916 nt
Filed under: uncultured bacterium
Lineage: Bacteria
Description: bacterial SSU rRNA
Rfam family: Bacterial small subunit ribosomal RNA
Source: RNAcentral
UCAUACAUGCAAGUCGAGCGCACCGCAAGGUGAGCGGCGAACGGGUGAGUAACGCGUGAACAAUCUGCCUCAAAGUGGGGGAUAACCAUUCCAACGGAUGGCUAAUACCGCAUAGGGUUUGGAAGUGGCAUCACUUCUUUACGAAAGCAUUCAUGCGCUUUGAGAUGAGUUCGCGUCCCAUUAGCUAGUUGGCGGGGUAACGGCCCACCAAGGCAACGAUGGGUAGCCGGCCUGAGAGGGUGUCCGGCCACAUUGGGACUGAGAUACGGCCCAGACUCCUACGGGAGGCAGCAGUAGGGAAUUUUGCGCAAUGGGGGAAACCCUGACGCAGCAACGCCAUGUGUGGGAUGAAGCAUUUCGGUGUGUAAACCACUGUCGGCAGGGAAUAAAGCCCACAUUUAUGUGGGGGUGAAUGUACCUGCAGAGGAAGCCCCGGCUAACUUCGUGCCAGCAGCCGCGGUAAUACGAGGGGGGCAAGUGUUGUUCGGAAUCACUGGGCGUAAAGGGAGCGUAGGCGGAUGUUUAAGUUGGAUGUUUAAAACCGGGGCCCAACCUCGGAGCGGCAUCCAAAACUGGACGUCUUGAAUGGAACAGAGGCUAGUGGAAUUGGGGGUGUAGCGGUGGAAUGCGUAGAGAUCCCCAAGAACACCAAUUGCGAAGGCAGCUAGCUGGGUUCACAUUGACGCUGAGGCUCGAAAGCAUGGGGAGCAAACAGGAUUAGAUACCCUGGUAGUCCAUGCCGUAAACGAUGAACACUAUGUUUCGGACUCGUCAACGGUUCGGAGCCGCAGCUAACGCGUUAAGUGUUCCGCCUGGGGAAUACGGUCGCAAGACUGAAACUCAAAGGAAUUGACGGGGGCCCGCACAAGCGGUGGAGCAUGUGUUUAAUUCGACGCAACGCGCAGAACCUUACCAG